Molecule: ribosomal RNA, 2275 nt
Filed under: Triticum aestivum (bread wheat)
Lineage: Eukaryota; Viridiplantae; Streptophyta; Magnoliopsida; Poales; Poaceae
Description: partial small subunit ribosomal RNA
Source: RNAcentral
CAACACUUCUCCAGUCCUCCUCGUCGGCAACCUUGCAUUACCGUUGCCGCCGUGGUGGCUCCAGCAACGAUUCUGUCCUUCACUCCUUCACCUCUCUGCCAAAGAUCUUUGUGUUUGCAGUGCAAAAGCCAUUUCCCAAUCCCCAACGAACAGUACCCUGUGAUUCCAUGACUGGGGUGGCGCUGGCUGGCUUAAAGUUGGCAACAUCGCCGAUCCUGAAGAGGCUCCUCGCAGAUGCCUCAACAUUCCUUGGGGUGGACAUGGCAAGUGAGCUCCAUGAACUGGAGAGCACAAUUAUGCCGCAGUUCGAGCUGAUGGUUGAAGCAGCUAACAAAGGCAACCACAGGGUCAAGUUGGACAAAUGGAUCCAAGAGCUCAAAGAAGCCUUCUACAAGGCUGAGGAUCUGCUGGACAUGCAUGAGUAUGACCUCCUUGAGCGCAAAGCAAAGACUGGGAGAGAUUCCUCGCCACUGUGUGCCUCAUCCAUCAGCACUAUUUUGAAGCCUCUGCGUGCUGCAUCUAACAGGUUAUCCAAUGUUCGCCCAAGGAACAAGAAGCUACUUUGCCAGCUGAAUGAACUGAAGGCCAUUCUAGCGAAAGGGAAGGGGUUCUCUGAGCUUCUUUGUUUACCAGGUGGUAACACUGCAGAGAGGCCCAUUAUUCCUCAGGCCACAUCAUUACCACCUCUGAAAGUAAUAGGUCGUGACAAGGAUCGCGAUGAUAUAAUAAACCUUCUUACCGAGCCAGUUGCUGUUGAAGCUAAUUCAGCUGUAUAUGCGGGUUUGGCCAUUGUCGGAGCAGGAGGUAUGGGAAAAUCCACCUUGGCACAACAUGUUUACAAUGACAAGAGGGUACAAGAACAUUUUGAUGUCAGGAUGUGGGUGUGCAUCUCACGCAAACUUGAUGUCCAUCGUCAUACACGGGAGAUAAUCGAAUCCGCAGCUAAGAGGGAGUGCCCACGUCUUGAUAAUCUGGAUACUCUCCACUGCCAAUUAAGGGACAUACUGCAGAAGUCAGAGAAAUUCUUGCUUGUAUUGGAUGAUGUUUGGUUUGAUGAUUCGAGUAAUCAGAUGGAAUGGGACCAACUGUUAGCUCCCCUAGUUUCUCAGCACAAGGGAAGCAAAGUUUUGGUAACUUCUCGACGGGAUACAUUUCCUUCCGCUCUUUACUGUGAAAAGGUGCUCCGUUUGGAAAGCAUGGAAGAUACUCAGUUCUUGGCACUCUUCAAAUACUAUGCCUUCACUGGAGCACAAAUUAGAGACCCUCCGUUGCUUGAAGGGCUAGAGGUGAUUGCAGAGGAGAUAGCUAAAAGGCUUGGACAGUCUCCUUUGGCUGCAAAAGUUGUUGGUUCCCAGUUGAAAGGGAAAAUGAAUAUCUCUGCCUGGAAAGAUGCUCUGACUUUAAAGAUUGACAACUUAAGUGAGCCUAGAAUGGCUCUGUUGUGGAGUUAUCAGAAGUUAGAUCCACGUCUACAGAGGUGCUUUCUAUAUUGUAGUUUGUUUCCAAAAGGGCACAGGUAUAACACUUAUGAGUUGGUUCACCUGCUGAUAGCGGAGGGGCUUGUUGAUCCGUGCAACCAGAACAGGAAAAUGGUAGAUGUUGGAAAGGAUUACCUCAAUGAGAUGGUUUCUGGGUCUUUCUUGCAACCAUUUUCUGAAAGAUUUAUGGACACAUACUACAUUAUGCAUGAUCUUCUUCAUGAUUUGGCAGAGUCGCUCUCUAAAGAAGACUGUUUCAGAUUAGAAGAUGAUAAGGUGACAGAAAUACCAUGCACCGUCCGUCGUCUGUCUGUUCGUGUUGAGAGUAUGAAACAACAUCAGCGCAGUAUCUGCAAGCUACAUCAUUUGCGCACUGUUAUCUGCAUUGACCCACUUACAGAUGAUGUGAGCGAUGUUUUCAGUCAGUUAGUCUUGGAUGAAGGUAAUUGGAGACCUCUUUGUCAAGACUGAGCGAAUAGUUGAAUAUACACUCACAUUUUAGAUGAGAACCGUGAAGUCUGAAGAAAUUGCUAGCGCCAACCAAUUCAGACUCACAACUAUAAAGAAAAAGGCCCAACAUCUUUCCCCUCCAGUGACCUCGCCUUCAGCUCUCUCUGCCGCCUUGGACGAUUGCUGCAUGCAUCGCUCUUCCAUUCUGAACGGCUCCACCACCAGUGAUGUAACGCUUGACUAAAUUUGAAUAUCUGUUCUACAGUUAUUGUCGUUAAUUUGUUAUCCUGUCUUGGCGUGUUACUUUUGAUUGGUGAUGCUUGUAAAAGUUACCCCUUGUGAACUGA